AUACUGAUCAACAAAAAUGUGAACUUGAGCUAAACGCCAAACAAGUUUUCACAGGGACAGAAGCAAAGCAAGUAGGUUUUCAGUUUGAACAGUGAGAAAGGGAACUGAAAAAGUGUCACGAGAGGUUAAGACGGUGGAGAUGAGUUAGAGGCAGAGAUGAUGCCAAACCCCAAAACUAAAUAAUGCUUUAAAUAAACAAAUAAAAAGAAAGAUAUAUCAUGAGGGCGUUGAAAAAUAAAAGCUAAGAAUAAUAAUGGCUGAAAAGGGAUAUAGAGUUAUAGAUUAAGACAUGAGGAACAAGCAAGAUAAAAGAAAAUGACAAGAAAGGGAGAAAAGAAGAAGAAGAAGAGAAAGUUAGAGAGGCUUGUUCAAUAAAAAAGUGAAUAUAAAUAGUUGGAGAUUUGAGAAAGGAACAAACUUUUCUUAGUGGGAUUUGAAAUUUUUUGAUUACUAACAAACACAAUCUAUGGAGGAGGGCACAGCUUCUGGAUAAAACGUGGGAAAUGACAUGGCCAACAACAACAAGUGGUCACCGAAACGAAGAUCUCCAUUUUGGAAUAAAGAAAGUGACAAAACACUGAAAUUGUGAAAGUGGACAACUUUCUUUUCCAAAUCCGAAAACACCUGAAGAUGCAGUAGAAGAACUUAAGAGUAGAUGAUUAAGAAAAUGUUAUUUAUUUUAUUUUUCUUCUUAAUACAAAAUAUUUUUAUUUGAUUAUCUAUCGGUAGAUAAUAGUAUACUAGGUUUUUUUUUAGUUGGCAUGAUGAUCUCAUAUUAGAAGGAGAUACUAUAAGCAGCACUGUGAAACCUCAUGAUACAAAAUGGGAGUUGUGAGUACCUAAUUGAACAAACCAAUGCACGAUGAAAAGAAUGAAAUGAUGAAGGAUAAGAAUUUUAUUAGGAAGAGACCACCACAAAUGCAAUGAGACAACUACGAGUGAAUGGGAAUUUGUAUGGAAUAUCCACUAAAAUUGGACCACAGAGCAAUAUCAUCAACGCACUGCGAUUAGUGAAUGUAAAAGUAUUCCACGAGUGACAAAUCGACCAGAGACAAAUGUAUGGUCUAUUGUGUGGGUGUACGCCUUAAAACACAUUCAGUAUCAAAACCAAAAAAAAAAAACUAUAUCUGAACGAUCCAAACUACAAAACUUGGUAUCACAAAUCUUCUAAUACCUGCAGUGUUUGUUUAAGCUUAUGAGUUGGCUACUCUUUAGAAACCACUCAGCAUUUUCCCUCCUCUUGAGGAAUGUUGAACGUCCACCCUGGAAAAUCUGAAUCCUCAAACAGAGAUGUUGGAACCGCUUUGUAGAAGGCUAAUGGAACUUGUUUUACCCUUCUCCGAAUCUGCCAUUUUUAAAUACAGUAUGUCCCCACAGUUAGUUUGUCUAAUGGUACUUGGUUUCGCACCACUAAUUACAACAAGGAGUUGAUGCAUAAGAGCCAUAAAGCUACAUUACCUCGUCUCCGAAGAUGGUGGCAUAUGAACCAGAGCUGAAAUCUUCUAUUUUCAUUUCGGUGGUUUUCGCUCUGACGGUUAGAUCAGUUUCCAACGAUGAAACAAACCUACACAUCAAGGAGAUUACAAAAUGUAUGAAACAAAAGAACUUCAUUCUUUUUGGAUAUUAUGGUCUGGUGGAGUGAAAUGUACCUUGAGACUGGUGGGCAGUAAUGGUGACGCAAAGUGUCAAUCUCCCAAAGGGAACUCCCUGUUAACAAGUAAUGAAUAUCAUCAGUUCUCUUGUGAAGUUGUCUCACAAGGAAGCAAAACAACACCCUCGCUAUCAGAACUUCAAUUUUUGCAUGAAUCUAGAGAAAUACAGUGCCACCAAUAAGAAAGUACAAAUCUAGAAAUACACAGCAGCAUAGAUAUUACUGUUGGAUAUGCUUCUACAUCACUGGGAAAGUCAAAAUACUUACUCAUGGCACCAGUUUUCUUGAGAUCACUUUCCUGGUUGUUGAAAUAGUCAAUACCAAGAUUUUUGUUGGUCUUUGGUCGGCACUCAUUGGAUUCCUCAGCUUCUGAAUUGGCUUCGUUGGCGGUUUCAACGGUUUCCUGCACAAAAGUGACCACAUUUGUAAGUGCAUGCUUUUAUAAACAUGAUUUUUGUUGCAUUUUCAAGCACUCACGAAGGCUAUACCUGAUGCACAAGAUGGUUGAUUGUAGAUUAGAGCCGUAAUGACCAACGAUCCCGAAGGAGGAACAGAAAGUGACAAUCUGCUUAGUUUCUUUGCGAAUGAAGCUGCCAGAUAUGCUGGAAGCAAUAAUGACCUAAGGCAAGCAUCAAGAAGCUGCGAUCAGAGUUGACAUCUUCCUCAGCAGCUUUGAAAGCAAGACUUGCAGUAUGGCCGUACAUGGUGUUUAAACCGAAUAUAGCACCUACUUUAAUAACACGAGGCCUAGACGUAGAAGCUCCCUCUGAAAGUAAACCAAGAAAAGCACCAAGAACUAUGAAGCCCAACAGAACACAAUUCAUUGCUUGGUUCUUUAAUACUGAUCAACAAAAAACGAGAACUUGAGCUAAACCCCAAACAAGUUUUUCAGAGGGACAGAAGCAAAGCAAGUAGGUUUCAGUUUGAACAGUGAGAAAGGGAACUGAAAAAGUGUCACGAGAGGUUAAGACGGUGGAGAUGAGUUAGAGGCAGAGAUGAUGCCAAACCCCAAAACUAAAUAAUGCUUUAAAUAAACAAAUAAAAAGAAAGAUAUAUCAUGAGGGCGUUGAAAAAUAAAAGCUAAGAAUAAUAAUGGCUGAAAAGGGAUAUAGAGUUAUAGAUUAAGACAUGAGGAACAAGCAAGAUAAAAGAAAAUGACA
RNAcentral lists this long non-coding RNA (2811 nucleotides) under Brassica napus (rape). Its description in RNAcentral is "long non-coding RNA (BNAP_LNC008897)". The record is from RNAcentral. Lineage: Eukaryota; Viridiplantae; Streptophyta; Magnoliopsida; Brassicales; Brassicaceae.